GCCGGCGUAGCUCAGUGGUAGAGCGCGGGACUCAUAAGCCCAAGGUCAGUGGUUCGAUCCCACUCGCCGGCA
This 72-nucleotide transfer RNA is filed under the name Candidatus Omnitrophota bacterium. RNAcentral describes it as "Candidatus Omnitrophica bacterium (groundwater metagenome) tRNA-Met". It matches the Rfam family "tRNA". Rfam says of the family: Transfer RNA (tRNA) molecules are approximately 80 nucleotides in length. The record is from RNAcentral. Lineage: Bacteria; Pseudomonadati; Candidatus Omnitrophota.